This 347-nucleotide long non-coding RNA is filed under the name Lathyrus oleraceus (garden pea). Its description in RNAcentral is "Pisum sativum (pea) long non-coding RNA (PSAT_LNC005985)". The record is from RNAcentral. Lineage: Eukaryota; Viridiplantae; Streptophyta; Magnoliopsida; Fabales; Fabaceae.
CGACUUCCUUACCCAGUAUAUCUCUUUCCCCCGGGUUUUAUCAAUGUUUUCCUUUCCCUUUGGGGAUAAAUAAAGUUUGAUGGCGACUCUGUUGUAUGUUCGAGCGUGCGAUACGUUCGGGUAUAUUUCUGCUAGCUUCAGUUGGCGACUCUGCUGGGGAGUUUUCUUGUAGUUAGGGGUCUCUUCUUGAGCAUCCCCAGCUUCAGCUGGCGACUCUGCUGGGGAUACUCUGCUAAUUGGAGUACUUCCUAGUCACUAAAAGGAGUCGAGCCUAGCUUAGGUUGUUUUCUCGCUAGUUUUAGGUGUUUACCUUUACAUGUUACUCACUUUAUUUAUCGCAUUUCUUG